This 94-nucleotide ribosomal RNA is filed under the name Notylia barkeri. RNAcentral describes it as "5.8S ribosomal RNA". It matches the Rfam family "5.8S ribosomal RNA", at positions 1 to 89 of the family's 154-position model. Rfam says of the family: 5.8S ribosomal RNA (5.8S rRNA) is a component of the large subunit of the eukaryotic ribosome. It is transcribed by RNA polymerase I as part of the 45S precursor that also contains 18S and 28S rRNA. The record is from RNAcentral. Lineage: Eukaryota; Viridiplantae; Streptophyta; Magnoliopsida; Asparagales; Orchidaceae.
GACACGACUCUUGACAAUGGAUAUCUUGGCUCUUGCAUCGAUGAAGAGCGCAGCGAAAUGCGAUACGUGGUGCGAAUUGCAGAAUCCCGCGAAC